Molecule: ribosomal RNA, 468 nt
Filed under: uncultured bacterium
Lineage: Bacteria
Description: partial 16S ribosomal RNA
Rfam family: Bacterial small subunit ribosomal RNA
Source: RNAcentral
GACGAACGCUGGCGGCGUGCUUAACACAUGCAAGUCGAGCGGAAAGGCCCUGCUUUUGUGGGGUGCUCGAGUGGCGAACGGGUGAGUAACACGUGAGUAACCUGCCCUUGACUUUGGGAUAACUUCAGGAAACUGGGGCUAAUACCGGCUAGGAGCUCCUGCUGCAUGGUGGGGGUUGGAAAGUUUCGGCGGUUGGGGAUGGACUCGCGGCUUAUCAGCUUGUUGGUGGGGUAGUGGCUUACCAAGGCUUUGACGGGUAGCCGGCCUGAGAGGGUGGCCGGCCACAUUGGGACUGAGAUACGGCCCAGACUCCUACGGGAGGCAGCAGUGGGGAAUAUUGCACAAUGGGCGGAAGCCUGAUGCAGCAACGCCGCGUGCGGGAUGACGGCCUUCGGGUUGUAAACCGCUUUCGCCUGUGACGAAGCGUGAGUGACGGUAAUGGGUAAAGAAGCACCGGCUAACUACGUG